UACGGGGGGGGCAAGCGUUGUUCGGAAUUACUGGGCGUAAAGGGCUCGUAGGCGGCCAACUAAGUCGGACGUGAAAUCCCUCGGCUUAACCGGGGAACUGCGUCCGAUACUGGAUGGCUUGAGUUCGGGAGAGGGAUGCGGAAUUCCAGGUGUAGCGGUGAAAUGCGUAGAUAUCUGGAGGAAUACCGGUGGCGAAGGCGGCAUCCUGGACCGGGAUUGACACUGAGGAGCGAAAGCUAGGGGAGCAAACAGG
This 253-nucleotide ribosomal RNA is filed under the name uncultured bacterium. Its description in RNAcentral is "partial 16S ribosomal RNA". It matches the Rfam family "Bacterial small subunit ribosomal RNA", at positions 524 to 776 of the family's 1533-position model. The record is from RNAcentral.